This 440-nucleotide ribosomal RNA is filed under the name uncultured bacterium. RNAcentral's name for it is "bacterial SSU rRNA". It matches the Rfam family "Bacterial small subunit ribosomal RNA", at positions 338 to 795 of the family's 1533-position model. The record is from RNAcentral.
CCUACGGGAGGCAGCAGUGGGGAAUCUUAGACAAUGGGCGCAAGCCUGAUCUAGCCAUGCCGCGUGAGUGACGAAGGCCUUAGGGUCGUAAAGCUCUUUCGCCAGGGAUGAUAAUGACAGUACCUGGUAAAGAAACCCCGGCUAACUCCGUGCCAGCAGCCGCGGUAAUACGGAGGGGGUUAGCGUUGUUCGGAAUUACUGGGCGUAAAGCGCACGUAGGCGGACUGGAAAGUUGGGGGUGAAAUCCCGGGGCUCAACCUCGGAACUGCCUCCAAAACUACUAGUCUAGAGUUCGAGAGAGGUGAGUGGAAUUCCGAGUGUAGAGGUGAAAUUCGUAGAUAUUCGGAGGAACACCAGUGGCGAAGGCGGCUCACUGGCUCGAUACUGACGCUGAGGUGCGAAAGUGUGGGGAGCAAACAGGAUUAGAUACCCUUGUAGUC